Triticum dicoccoides is the source of this 830-nucleotide long non-coding RNA. RefSeq lists it as uncharacterized. NCBI's taxonomy places the organism in Eukaryota, Viridiplantae, Streptophyta, Magnoliopsida, Poales, Poaceae. The record is from RefSeq and is a predicted model, not a curated record. The transcript is spliced from 3 exons.
CCGCACGCCGAUCCUAUUCUCCGCCGCCCGCCUUCCUCUGCUCCUCCUCUGCCGCCGCCGAUCUCAUCUGAGCCAGUACAAAUAUUGCCACUCAUCAACAUCUGCAGCAUCUAAGUGAAGUGAUUAUGUGGAUCUUGUGAGGAAAACAGAUAGGCCAAGAAGCCUGGGAGGUUGUCUACAGUCACUGGCCUGGUAUGUGACCUGCUUGCAUCUUCUAAAUUAUCUUCUAAAUUAGUAUGAAUUUUUUCUGCUCAAAAACAGUUUUCUAUGAUAUUUGUAAUUUCCACGUUUCGAUUGAGCUUCUUACGAUCUAUCAGUAAGGCCUCUCAGGUUUUAGAUUUGUGAUUAGAUCGUUGCAUAUAAGCCAAAAUGAGUCUAUGAUAAGGGAAAUAAACUGGCUACGCUUACCGUAUGGAUGAAACUGAAGAGUGAAGUGAUAUUUCUUUCUACCAUUGCAUAGCUUUACCAUCACCGAUCCAUGUUAAGUGUGAUUUGUUUCUCUGUACAUUAUUCGGAUACAAAGGAUUCGAGCUGAAAAGAAGAUGCAGUGGAGAACAUUAUCACAAGUUAGCAUUUCCUGUGAAACGAAGACCAUUAUAUAGAACAUUGAUUAAUUUGUAAAAAAAUGCUGAUAGCCAAAGGUUAAUGCUGAUAGACCAUUAUAUAUAAACACUUGAAAUAAUUCAGUUAUGGUUUCUAUCAAUAUAUUGUUUCUACUACAUAUAUAUAUUACUUUUAGCUGCGCAAUUUCGUCCGACAGCCAAAGGCUUGUCUAUUAGUAUCUUUUGUAUUUGAUGGGAUCUUGUAACGAGAAAAAACCUUCGGAGCAA